Molecule: long non-coding RNA, 426 nt
Filed under: Ananas comosus (pineapple)
Lineage: Eukaryota; Viridiplantae; Streptophyta; Magnoliopsida; Poales; Bromeliaceae
Description: long non-coding RNA (ACOM_LNC041092)
Source: RNAcentral
AUUUUUGGUGCAUUGAAUUGUUGUUUAUUUAAAAAUCAUUUUGAGGAAGAGGUGUUUGGGAAUUUCAAAAUCUUUGAGAAAGGAGAUGAUUGAGAAUCGUUUUUUUUGGAGAGAAAGUUUUUUUUAAGAUUGUUUAAACGGGUUUUAUCUUCACAAUCAUAUUAAGUUAAAUUCAUAUUAAUUAUCGUCUUUAGUCCACUAUUUAUUAUUUUGACGAUAAUUUAUUAUAUGAUUUCUUAUUGGCCUUUUUGCAUAAAAAAUCCACUUAUUUUGGGCUUUUGCAAAAUCGGGUCACUUUUUUCGUUUUUGCAGAUUCGGUCCGUUUUUUCAAUAAACUGACCAAAAUACCCUUAUUACUUUUUCUCUUUCCUCUUUCUCUCUCCUCUUCGUUUCUUCCGUUAUUUUUUUUUUUCGUUCUUUUUUCGA